Long non-coding RNA from Brassica oleracea var. oleracea, 1184 nucleotides. RefSeq lists it as uncharacterized. The transcript is spliced from 3 exons. The record is from RefSeq and is a predicted model, not a curated record. Lineage: Eukaryota; Viridiplantae; Streptophyta; Magnoliopsida; Brassicales; Brassicaceae.
UCCAUCCGAGGAUGCUUUAUACGCCGUCUCUCGGUUGUUAAUAACCGGUCCGGUCCGGUCCGGUAUUGUGAAUUAAGAAAAACAAAUGAGUAAACCAAGAGUUUCUUCUUCUUCUUCUUCUUCUUCUAUCACACAAACAAUCUGUAGAUCUUCUCUCUCAGAUUAUGGCAUGAUUCGAAUUAGGAGCGGCUCUUUUCAAACUGAAUGAAGAGUGAUUCCCACCAAUUCAAACGCUCAAUCUAAAGGUCAGAGCUCUGUGAAUUGUUUGAGUUAGUAAUGGAUAUUUCUAUUGCGGGACAGAUGAUGAUGAUGCCUUCUUCUUCUCUCCCACUAGACUGCUUUGCUUGCUUAUUCCAACACUGACGUGACUGCUUUCUUUUUCCCAUUCCCGUUGCCUACAACCCUGAUAAAGGUUCUCCUUCCCACUUCAAUAACCCCUCAUUCUAUUCUCACCACCAAUCUUACCUACAUUACAGAGGAGGGUGAUGAUCAUCAUUCCUCCACCUCUCCUUUUCCUCUCUUCUCUUUAGCGCCAACAUUACCUGCUCUCAACGACAUGAAAGCUUUUCUCUCUCUCUCAAACCUGUCAGUCAUGAAGGUGGAUAAAGAUUUCGUAAACAAAUGUAAAUUUGUGGUUGCCACUGGGAUUUUCGAUGCAUAUGAUCAACCCCACCAGCCAUCUAACAUUAGCCAAGAACCUCUUCUGUUUCCUUCUGGUGGUUGACGAGCUCUCUCUCCAUUUCUUAACAUCAAACACUACUUUGACUGUGAGCCAAGAUGUUCAUAGGAGGCCAAUGGGUCGGCAUUUGGCGUCUUAUUCUACUCAAAACUCCUCCUUAUGAUGAACCUAGGCUAGGAGGAACGGCAAAGUCCCCAAAAUCUUAAUUACUACUGUUAUUGAGGGAGCGGUGAUAAUAAGAGAACACACUGCAAUGAACAAUCUCUUCAGCUGCCUGUGGUUCAACGAGGUACACCUGCUAACACCCAGGGACCAGCUUAGCUUUGGGUACGUAGUGGACAGACUAAAAUGAGCCUUCAAGGUGUUCAUGUUUCACAACUGUGAUGUGAAUACAACUCUCUCUUUCAACUGCACCCUCACAUCCGACAACAUUCCUCUAAGAUCGAGUGGGUCAAGAGUGUCAAGGAACUCAAAGGGAAAGGUGUUGGGAAAAUUAUCCAAUAUC